RNAcentral lists this ribosomal RNA (488 nucleotides) under uncultured Lachnospiraceae bacterium. RNAcentral describes it as "bacterial SSU rRNA". It matches the Rfam family "Bacterial small subunit ribosomal RNA", at positions 8 to 507 of the family's 1533-position model. Lineage: Bacteria; Bacillati; Bacillota; Clostridia; Lachnospirales; Lachnospiraceae. The record is from RNAcentral.
AGAGUUUUGAUCCUGGCUCAGGGAUGAACGCUGCGGCGUGCCUAACACAUGCAAGUCGAACGGGAACAGAAUGAAACCUAGUGAUUUUGUUUUAGUGGCGGACGGGUGAGUAACGCGUGGGUAACCUGCCGUAUACAGGGGGAUAACACUUAGAAAUAGGUGCUAAUACCGCAUAAGCGCACAGCUCCGCAUGGAGCAGUGUGAAAAGCGUAAACGGUAUACGAUGGACCCGCGUCUGAUUAGCUAGUUGGCGGGGUAGAGGCCCACCAAGGCGACGAUCAGUAGCCGGCCUGAGAGGGUGACCGGCCACAUUGGGACUGAGACACGGCCCAAACUCCUACGGGAGGCAGCAGUGGGGAAUAUUGCACAAUGGGGGGAACCCCGAUGCAGCGACGCCGCGUGAGUGAAGAAGUAUUUCGGUAUGUAAAGCUCUAUCAGCAGGGAAGAAAAUGACGGUACCUGACUAAGAAGCCCCGGCUAACUACGUG